AAGACUAUACUUUCAGGGAUCAUUUCUAUAGUUCGUUACUAGAAGGAAAAAUUAGGACAAAGAUGGGGGGGGUACAUGCUGGGUGGGCAGCA
Molecule: small nucleolar RNA, 92 nt
Filed under: Suricata suricatta (meerkat)
Lineage: Eukaryota; Metazoa; Chordata; Mammalia; Carnivora; Herpestidae
Description: Small nucleolar RNA U3 (ENSSSUG00005019567.1)
Rfam family: Small nucleolar RNA U3 (bases 1-41)
Source: Rfam by way of RNAcentral